Non-coding RNA from Odocoileus virginianus texanus, 1295 nucleotides. Lineage: Eukaryota; Metazoa; Chordata; Mammalia; Artiodactyla; Cervidae. The record is from RefSeq and is a predicted model, not a curated record.
CAUAUAUUAGCAUAGAGGAUCAUUAAUAAAAAAUAGAAAUGAUGAAACACUUUAAACACAAGCAGUAUAUUAUUAAGUCAAGAAAUUUCUAUCAUCACAUGUAGGAGACAAGAAGAAUAAAAAAAAAAAGCAGACACCGGCAAGGGUCACAAAAAAAAUUUAUAAUUAUGAUAAACCGGAUGCUAUAAGGCAUGAGACUCUUGGAACGAGUCCAGAGGGAACAGUUCAUAAUCUUGAAAACAAGAUAUGAUCCUGGGGUCGGAAAACCAGCGUCUCAGAGUCACAGGUUUUACAUAUCUGGUGGAAAAUCUAUAGAUAAGAAAAUUAGUCUUAGUUACUGAUUUGUUAUUGAUUACCGUUUCCUAAGUACUCAAUGGUUAAUGAUCAUUUUGUUCUUUGGCCCUGAAAGCCACAUGAGUUAUAGUUUAACUCCCCACAUAUUCUUUCAUUCACGGCUGAAAGUAUAAUAAAGCUGGCUUGGAUUCAGUUUCGGCACCUUCACCUUGGAGCGGUGUUGGUCCCCCAUCCUCGCUUUUCCAUGAAUUCUUGUGUCUCUUUUCUCAUUCUUGCCAUAUCGCGCUUUCGGAAUCCCUGCUUGUCGAGUUGGUCUAGACAAGUGGCGCAGGAAAAGGGACCCGAAAGUGAAUUCAGCCUGCGAGGCUAGCUCCUAGCAGCAGAGAACGCAGGGAAAUCCGGCCAGCUCGGCAGACGGCCGACGAAGAAAGUACUUGUCUAGAGAAAAACAAUCAAGAGACAACGCAGCCAACAACAGCAACUAACAUUUCUCACCAUUUCUUAUCACGUACAAAAUCAAAAAGGGGGAGAUGUAGGAGACAGGAAGAAUAAAAGAAAAGCAGGCCCCAGCAAGGGCCACAAAAGAAAUUUAUAAUUAUUGAUAAACUGGAUGCUACAAGGCAUGAGACUCUUGGAACGAGUCCAGAGGGAACAGUUCAUAAUCUUGAAAAGAAGAUAUGAUCCUGGGAUCGGAAAACCGACCCCAGACUAUUUCUCAACCGGCGUCUCAAGAGUCACGUGUUUUACGUAUCUAGUGGAAAAUCUAUCAAUAAAAAUAGUAGUCUUAGUUACUGAUUUGUUAUUGAUUACUGCUUCCUAAUCACUCAAUGGUAAUUAAUGAUCAUUUUGUUCUUUGGCCCUGAAGGCCACAUAAAUUAUAGUUUAACUCCCCACAUAUUCUUUCAUUCACGGCUGAAAGUAUAAUAAAGCUGGCUUGGAUUCAGUUUCAGCACCUUCACCUUGGAGUGGUGUUGGUCCCCUGAUCCUCACUUUUCUAUGAA